GUAAUGAGAUACCGAAUCGGCGGCAUCAUCGGAGGAUGAUGUCGGGGGCGACCUGGAAACAGGUACAGCGAAAGCUGCGGUCAGUGUAGAACACUGAUUUGACACCUCUCAAAACCUCAACACUCUGCACUUCCCUGGUGCUCAGGUACUCAUUA
This is a non-coding RNA of Pantoea ananatis PA13, 155 nucleotides long. The record is from Rfam. NCBI's taxonomy places the organism in Bacteria, Pseudomonadati, Pseudomonadota, Gammaproteobacteria, Enterobacterales, Erwiniaceae.